Molecule: ribosomal RNA, 510 nt
Filed under: uncultured bacterium
Lineage: Bacteria
Description: bacterial SSU rRNA
Rfam family: Bacterial small subunit ribosomal RNA
Source: RNAcentral
UUGGGUUUAAAGGGUCUGUAGGCGGGCUAUUAAGUCAGGGGUGAAAUCUUACAGCUUAACUGUGAAAUUGCCUUUGAUACUGGUAGUCUUGAAUAUUUGUGAAGUUUUUGGAAUGUGUAGUGUAGCGGUGAAAUGCUUAGAUAUUACACAGAACACCGAUUGCGAAGGCAGGAGACUAACAAAUGAUUGACGCUGAGAGACGAGAGCGUGGGGAGCGAACAGGAUUAGAUACCCUGGUAGUCCACGCUGUAAACGAUGGAUACUAGCUGUUUGGCGUAAGCUGAGUGGCUAAGCGAAAGUGAUAAGUAUCCCACCUGGGGAGUACGCACGCAAGUGUGAAACUCAAAGGAAUUGACGGGGGCCCGCACAAGCGGUGGAGCAUGUGGUUUAAUUCGAUGAUACGCGAGGAACCUUACCAAGGUUUAAAUGGGAACUGACGUACUUAGAGAUAGGUAUUUCUUCGGACAGUUUUCAAGGUGCUGCAUGGUUGUCGUCAGCUCGUGUCGUGAG